UGUGCAGGCGGGGAAGCAAGUGGUGUAUGAAAUCUCCCAGCUUAACUGGGAUAGGUUAUGCCAGACUGCUUUUCUAGAGGACGAGAGAGGGGGGUGGAAUUCCGGGUGUAGUGGUGAAAUGCGUAGAGAUCCGGAGGAACCCCAGAGGCGAAGGCGGCCCCCUGGCUCGUACCUGACGCUCAGCCACGAAAGCAUGGGGAGCAACG
This 206-nucleotide ribosomal RNA is filed under the name uncultured bacterium. RNAcentral's name for it is "partial 16S ribosomal RNA". It matches the Rfam family "Bacterial small subunit ribosomal RNA", at positions 568 to 773 of the family's 1533-position model. The record is from RNAcentral.